AUGUGUCAUAAAGCUCCAAACUUUCUAUUAUUAGAUCUGUUUGGAGGAAAAGAGUGGGAGAAGUUUGCCAAGAGAGUGAAUCAUGAAUCAUAUAACCUCAUUGUGGUUAUUCCAAAAGCUCCAAUCUUGUGUAGUGUUGAAAGGUUCAUUGAACAUAAAAGUUCAGUUGUUGAUUCCAUGGGUGAAUACUACAUGAUUAAGGUUGUACACAGUUUUGAGCGCCUCUGCAAAG
Non-coding RNA from Vicia faba (fava bean), 232 nucleotides. Lineage: Eukaryota; Viridiplantae; Streptophyta; Magnoliopsida; Fabales; Fabaceae. The record is from the annotation of a GenBank genome assembly.